Molecule: ribosomal RNA, 158 nt
Filed under: uncultured bacterium
Lineage: Bacteria
Description: partial 16S ribosomal RNA
Rfam family: Bacterial small subunit ribosomal RNA
Source: RNAcentral
CUAGUAAUCGCGCAUCAGCCACGGCGCGGUGAAUACGUUCCCGGGCCUUGUACACACCGCCCGUCAAGCCAUGGGAGCCGGGGGUACCUGAAGUGCGUAACCGCGAGGAGCGCCCUAGGGUAAAACUGGUGACUGGGGCUAAGUCGUAACAAGGUAGC